RNAcentral lists this ribosomal RNA (253 nucleotides) under uncultured bacterium. Its description in RNAcentral is "partial 16S ribosomal RNA". It matches the Rfam family "Bacterial small subunit ribosomal RNA", at positions 524 to 776 of the family's 1533-position model. The record is from RNAcentral.
UACGUAGGGCGCAAGCGUUAUCCGGAAUUAUUGGGCGUAAAGAGCUCGUAGGCGGCUUGUCGCGUCGUUCGUGAAAACCUGCAGCUCAACUGCAGGCUUGCGGUCGAUACGGGCAGGCUAGAGUUCGGUAGGGGAGACUGGAAUUCCUGGUGUAGCGGUGAAAUGCGCAGAUAUCAGGAGGAACACCGGUGGCGAAGGCGGGCCUCUGGGCCGAUACUGACGCUGAGGAGCGAAAGCGUGGGGAGCGAACAGG